UCGCAUUUUAGAGAAGGUGUGAGCCCGCCCCGAGACUGGCGAUUGGAAGAGCUUGCACGCCGAGCUGGGUUGUCUGAACCCUGACUUGAUAAGUCCCUCGCCGGCUCCCGUAAUCUCAGCUAGAGGAUGUUAGUCCCGUUUCCUACACAGCCUGCACCUGCCGCUUCUUCUCAGGAUUCCCUCUCUUAGAGCUCCGGCGCGGCCUUCUACGUGCCGGGUCGAGGGCUCCAGGACUUUGGGCGGUAAUGGGUCCGCUAUUGUGAGUCUGAGCCAGUGCCGCGGGCGAGUCCCUUUAGCUUCAGCCAGUUUGGCUCGUUUAUUGAGAAAAGCGGGGGGCGAGGAGUUAGUGUGUAAGAAAGUCUUCAAGUUUCCAUAUGGUUAAGGUAAUUUUACCAACUCUUUCUUGCACCCCUCCCCCAGCACGGUUUCAAACCUGAAUAACCUAGAGUUCAUGAUCCCGACUUCAAAACAUUCUCUGCUUUUUCUGUUAUUUGUGAAAAAUAAGUUUUUUGUGAGCCCAGAUCGUGCUAUUGCACUCCAGCCUGGGCAACAGCCAAACCCUAUCCAAAAAAAAAAAAAAAAACGCUCUUUUUCGGCGCUACUUUCUUCCCUUCAGUAAGGGCCGAGGAGCAACUUCACAGCUUUUUAACACUGUAAUUGAAGUAUUUGUUCAAGAAAGGCAAGAAGUCUUGGCGCGGAAGUGGGGGACAUAGGGAAAUUGUUGGUCGAAUGAUACAAAGUUUCAGUUUGACAAGGUGAAUGAGUUCUGUAGUUAAUCAUGUAUUGUGUGCUUGAAAUUGCGAAGAAGGUACACCUUAAAUGCACUUACCACAGGAAAGUUUUGGGGUACAUGUGCAGAACAUGCAAGAUAGUUGCACAGGUCCUUGAGGAAUCGCCACACUGUCUUCCACAAUGGUUGAACUAAUUUACACUCCCACCAGCAGUGUAAAAGUGUUCCUAUUUCUCCACAUCCUCUCCAGCAUCUGUUGUCUCCAGAUUUUUUAAUGAUCGCCAUUCUAACUGGCGUGAGAUGAAUGUGAUUGUAGCUAGGACCUUUAAGGAAGUGCUCAAGUUCAAUGAGACUGUUAGGGUGGGCCCUAAUCCAGUCCUGACUGGUGGCAUUAUAAGAAGAGGAAAUUUGGAUACACAGAGAGACAUCAGGCAGGUGCGCACAAGAGAAAAGGCCAUGUGAAGGCACAACAAGAAGGUGACCAUCUGCAAACCAAGGAGAGAGACUUCAGAAGAAGCCAGACCUGCUGACACGUUGAUCUUGGACCACUAGCCUCCAGAAUGUGAGGAAAUACAUUUCUGUUGUUUAAACCACUCAGUCUGUGGUAUUUUGUUAUGGCAGCCCUAGGAAACUAAUACACAUGUCAAAUCUCGCUUUGGCUUUUCCUUCUCAGAGGACCCAUACUAGCACAGGUGGCACUAGGGGAGAUCCAGGAAGACAUAAGAUGGGGCUUCAAGACUGACUCACUCACUACUUGUUGGGCAAAGAAGAUGCCAUCCUGUACAGUAUAGGAGCACAGUAUAGGUAGUUCCUAGCACAAGGUGGUGAUCUAGUUGCUAAAGAUUUUCGUAAAUGGUCACCUGGGAAGAAAUCCCAGUGAGGUUAAGUUAAAGACCCCGCUGAUUCAAUUUCAGGCAUUUGAAAUAUAUAGGGGAACAAUGCCUACAAGGACAAUGAAGAUGGCUGGAUGCUGCUAAGUUGUGACAUCCAGAAAAGGGAUGAGAAAACAAAGGUUCCACUGGGUUAAUAGCCAAAUAUGAAAGACAGAGGGUCUCUUUAGUAGCCUACAAAAAAUUACUUAUUUUCUGUAGUGGAAAAGCUAACACAGAUGAGUGACAGACUUCAAACAUGAUAGAGUCACAAAGUUUCAGACACACUUAAAUGUGCAGCCAAAGCAGGUCAGGGUCCUUAUUGGGAAAGCCCGAGACUGAAACAAGGAUGGAACAUCUGGAUAGACAUUUGUAUGGAUGUUUGCUCUGCAGACCUCUGUGUACUUUCAAAACUUGCAGAGGUGAUCUGUCUCUCCGUAUUAAGAGGUAGUACUUCCCCCCAAACUGAAAGACGCUGCAGAGCUACUCUCCCACAAAGAAACACAGGAGUUGUCCCAACUUCCUCUCCUAUCCUCUCCAGGCCAAUAGAUAGUGGUAAAUACUAGCAUAACCCAGUUGGGAACAUGCUGGGCCUGACAAAGGAGGAAAGACACUAAGAAUUAGCAUAUGCAGACAAGCCAGGGGAGUACUCGAGGAUUGGAUUUUGAGGCGCUUGAUCAAGGGGACUGAAAUAUAAAACAAUAAUCAAGAUUCAUUGACUUGGGGGCACUUCUUGAGAGACAGGAUUUAACACCCUAGCAAAACGUCAGAAAUGAAACAGUCACUUUUGAGGAAUUCUUAGAAAUCUGGAGCAAGUGAUGGACAAUGCUGAGCAAAGUAAAAAUGGUUUACCCUUGCUGUGACAUGGUAAAAGCCCCAUAAAACUGCGUACGUCAACCAUACCUUGGCUUUGUAUUGAAACUGCUCUCUGUAACCCAAAUGUGACAGGCAAGCAGUCCAAACCCAUGCCAUCUUGGCCCCUGCAACUUGUAAUAAGUAACCUAACCCCCGAGGUGAUUUUAGGGUCUUGACACCCUCCUUUCGGGGCCACAGGUUGGAGACGUGAGUCCUCCGUGGCCACCUGCAAUAAAGACCCUGCAAUUUGGCAUACUUUUGUCUUGGUGUUGACUUUCUAUGCUCGGGCCAGUACAACACUGGCAUAUGGUAGAAUGAAUUUAAAAAUUCAUUCUUCUAUCAUAUGGGUGAACUGAGUGUUUACAAUUGAUGUAUUAAGUGAGAGCAGAAGACCCCUUAGAGGAUUAUGUUCCACAGAAAGGUCCAGAAGACACCAUUCACCAAGGCCAUCAAAAGUGCUCAGUUAAGAGGAAAAACAGCAUUACCAAAGAGUGUUCUGCAAUCCUGGGCUGACAGUUGGAGAAGAGCUGUCACAGAAUUGGGGCUUAUUAAUAACUAUGACAAUUAUAUCACCCCAACUCCCAAGUAAUGGAGUCCAGAUGCUGGUGCUUAGUCAUCAGAAUCCAGAAGGUUCAAUUACCAGUAAGAGCAGCAAGAUCUGGGAAGAGUAGCACAGUAGAAAUGUCUGAAUUUUUGUGAUGUGUGGUAGGGGCUAUUCCCUACUUUAGUUAUAUAUUUCAGUAGACUCUAUUGUAUUGUAGCUGUCAGGCAUGGAAAGAUGUAGUCUGGAGUUUGUGAUGAUUAAUUUUUUAUCAACUCCACUAUAGGGUAUCCAGAUAUUUGAUCAAAUAUUGUGGGUUUGUUUGUGAGGGCGUUUCUGGAUAAGGUUAACAUUUGAAUUAGUAGACUGAGCAAAACAGAUUGCCCUCCCAAUUGUGAGUAAGCCUCAUCUAAUCAAUUGAAGACCUGAAUAGAAUAAAAAAGCUAAGUAAGAGGGAACUCCUACCUGACUGCUUGAGCUGAGACAUUGGUCGUUUCUGGCCUUUGGACUGGGACUGGAACAUCAGCUCUUCUUGGAUCUCAAGCCUACUAACUUCCAGACUUUAAUUGGGCAGAAGUCAAUGGUCUGGACCUCUGAUAGGGGGUCUGGAAGGCAAAGGACUGGAAAAUCAAAGACAAGGAGGUCUGGGAUAGAGUCAGGUGAAUGACUAUGCAGAAGUAGGCAUGAGGUGUGAAGUUUUUAUAUCAUGUAUUUACAAGAGAAGAGGCAUUAAACAAGUAGGCAAAAUGAGUCAGUUGACAUUACUAGGCUUAAUCAUUGGCCAUCUUGGAACCAGCAUGAUGGGCACUGUUAUGGGCUAAAUUGCUGUAUUAGUAUGUUCACACACUGUUUAUUAGACAUACCUGAGACUGGGUAAUUUAUAAAGGAAAGAGGUUUAAUGGACUUACAGUUCCACAUGGCUGGGAGGCCUCAUAACCAUGGUGGAAGGCAAAGGAGAAGCAAAAGCAUGCCUUACAUGGUGACAGGCAAGAGAGUGUGUGCAGAGGAACUAAACCAUCGGACCUUGUGAGACUUACUCACUAUCACAAGACUUACUAUCAUAGGAAAGACCCACCCCCAUGAAUCAAUUACCUCUCACCAGGUCCCUUCCACAACACAUGAGAAUUAUGGGAGCAAAAUUCAAGAUGAGAUUUGGGUGGGUUCACAGCCAAACCAUAUCAUUCUGCCCCGGCCCCUCCAAAAUUUUAUGUCCUCACAUUUCAAAACCAAUCAUGCCUUCCCAGUAGUCCUCCAAAGUCUUAACUCAUUUCAGUAUUUACUCAGAAGUCCACAGUCCAAAGUCUCAUCUGAGACAAGGCAAGUCCCUUCCACCUAUAAGCCUGUAAAAUCAAAAGCAAGUUAGUUAUUUCCUAGACACAAUGGGAGUACAGGCAUUGGGUAAAUACACCGGUUCCAAGUGGGAUAAAUUGGCCAAAACAAAGGGGCUACAGCCGUCAUGCAAGUCAGAAAUCCAGCAGGGCAGUCAAAUCUUAAAGCUCCAAAAUAAUCUCCUUUGGCUCCUUAUCUCAUAUCCAGGGCAUUAUGAUGCAGGAGGUAGGCUCACACAACCUUGGGCAGCUCUGCCCCUGUGGCUUUGCAGGGUACAGCCCUGCUCCUGGCUGCUUUCACGGGCUGGCAUUGAGUGUCUGCGACUUUUCCAGGCACACAGUGCAAGUUGUCAGUGGAUCUACCAUUCUAGGAUCUGGAGGAUGGUGGCCUUCUCACAACUCCACUAGGCAGUGCCCCAGUGGGGACUCUGUGUGGGUGCUCUGACUCCACAUUUCCCUUCUGCACUGCCCUAGCAGAGGUUCUCCAUGAGGUACCUGUCCCUGCAGCAGACUUCUGCCUGAAUAUCCAGGUGUUUCCAUAUAUCUGAAAUCUAGGCAGAUCAGGCUCAACACCAUGUGGAAGCUGCCAAGGCUUGGGGCUUGCACCCUCUGAAGCAAUGGCCUGAGCUCUAUAUUGGCCCCUUUUAGCCACAGCUCGGACACAAGAUACAAAGUCCCAAGACUACACAAAGCAGCAAGGGCUUGGACCUGGCCCAUGAAACCAUUUUUUCCUCCUGGGCCUCCAGGCCUGUGAUGAGAGAGGCUGAGAGAAGACCUCUGAUGUUCCCUGGAGACAUUUUCCUCAUUGUCUUGGUGAUUAACAUUAGGCUUCUUGUUACUUACGCAAAUUUCUGCAGCCAGAUUGAAUUUCUCCUCAGAAAAUGCGUUUUUCUUUUCUAUUGCAUCAUCAGGCUGUACAUUUUCUGAACUUUCAUGCUCUGUGUCCUCUUGAAAGGAGAGCAUGAAAGUUCAGAAAAUGUUAGAAAUUUGUUCUGCCAGAUACCUAAGUCAUCUCUCUCAAGUUCAAAGUUCCACAGCUCUCUGGGGUAGGGGCAAAAUACUGCCAGUCUCUUUGCAUAGCAAGAGUGACCUUUACUCCAGUUCCCAACAAGUUUUGCCAUCUGAGACUACCUCAUCCUGGACUUUAUUGUUCAUAUCAUUAUCAACAUUUGGUUGAUAAUUCUACAAGUUUCUAGGAAGUUCCAAACUUUCCCACAUCUUCCUGUCAUCUGAGCCCUCCAAGUCUCUAGGAAGUUCCAAAUUUCCCAUAUUUUCCUGUCUUCUUCUAAGCCCGGAAGUUCCAAACUUUCCCACAUCUUCCUGUCAUCUGAGCCCUCCAAGUCUCUAGGAAGUUCCAAAUUUCCCAUAUUUUCCUGUCUUCUAAGCCCUCCAAACUCUUCCGCCCACUGCCUGUUACCCAGUUCCAAAGUCAAUUCCACAUUUUUGAGUAUCUACAGCAACACCCCACUCUACCAGUACCAAUUUACUGUAUUAGUCUGUUCUCAUGCUGCCAAUAAAGACAUACCAUGUCUUAGGUAAUUUAUAAAGGAAAGAUUUAAUAAGAGGUUUAAUGGAUUCACAGUUCCACCUGGCCGGGGAGGCCUGCCAAUCAUGGCAGAAGGCAAAGGAGAAGCAAAAGCAUGUCUUACAUGGCAGCAGGCAAGAGGGCAUUUGCAGGAGAACUCCCCUUUAUAAAACCAUCAGACCUCGUGAGACUUAUUCACUAUCAUGGGAAAGACCCACCCCCAUGAUUCAACUACCUCCCACCAGGGCCUUCCCACCACACAUGGGAUUUAUGGGAGUGACAAUUCAAGAUGAGAUUUGGGUGGAGACACAACCAAAUCAUAUCAGUUUCCCCUACUCAAUUCAUACAUGGAAGACCUAAACUCCAAUAGCUCAGAUUGACAUUCAGAAACUGGAUUGUUGCACAUAUAAUUAAUUAAUAAAGAUGAGUUUAUACUGGAAGGGGUAGACCCCUAAUUCACUCUGACUAGUGUUCUUUUGAGCAGGUGGCCAUGUGAAGACAGAGAUACACAGGGUGGACACCAUGUGAAAAUGAAGGCAGAGCUGGCACAGUGGCUCACGCCUUGUAAUCCCAGCACUUUGGAAGGCUGAGGCGGGUGGAUCACCUGAGGUCAGGAGUUUGAGACCACCCUGACCAACCUGGAGAAACCCUGUCUCUACUAAAAAUACAAAAAUUGGCAUGGUGGCACAUGCCUGUAAUCCCAGCUACUUGGGAAGCUGAGGAAGGAGAAUUGCUUGAACCCAGGAGACAGAGGUUGAGGUUAGCUGAGAUCGCACCAUUGCACUCCAGCCUGGGCAGUGACAGUGAAACUCCAUCUCAAAAAAAAAAAAAGUGAAGGCAGAGAUCAGGGUGAUAGAGCAGAAUCUAAGAGGCAUGGCACAGAUUCUCAUUCAUAACCCUCAGAGGGAACCAACCUUGCUGACACCAUGAUCUCAGACUUCUAGCCUCAGAACUAUGAGACGAUACAUUUGUUUAAGCCACCACAUUUGUGGUACUUUGUUAUGGCAGCCCUAGGUAACCAAUACCAUCACAUAAAUGGACUGGCCACAGUGGCAGGGAUAGAGGCUAUAUAUGGGCUCCAACUUUCCAAGGUUGAUCUAGCUACUGAUGAUCUUUACUGUUAGCAUCAAAGACUAAUGCAGAGUCCCCAAUAUGUCACUAAUACUCAAGGAGAUCAACUGGCUGCUUGGUGACAAGUUGACAACAUUAGGUCUCUUCUACUUCUGAGGGACUUAACAGUUCAUUCUCACAGUGAUGGAUAUCUAAUCUGGGUACGGGUUUUCUUUUCCUUCCCACAGGUUCUCAGCCAGGGUUUAAAAUAUGGAGUUUAAAAUACGGGUUUAAAGUAUGGGAGUUUACAAAAUGAAUGCCUGAUCCACAAGCAUAAACUCUUACGUAACAUGGCAUCCAACCAGGCGACUUGUUUCAUGGUAAAAGAGGAGCGAGAGUGGGCCUGUGGCCAUGGCAUCCCUGAUCAUACCAUACCAUCCAGAAAAAUCUGGCAUUUUAAAGGAUUGGGAUGACUUUUUUUUUUUUUUUUUUUGAGGCAGGCUCACACUCACCCAGGCUGGAGUGCAGUGGUACAAUCUCAGCUCACUGUAGCCUUGACCUCUCAGGCUCAAGCCAUCUUCCCACUUCAGCCUCAUGAGUAGCUGGGACUAUGGGCAUGUGCCACCACACCCAGCUAAUUUUUUUUUUUUUUUGAGACGGAGUUUCGCUCUUGUUACCCAGGCGGGAGUGCAAUGGCGUGAUCUCGGCUCACCGCAACCUCCGCCUCCUGGAUUCAGGCAAUUCUCCUGCCUCAGCCUCCUGAGUAGCUGGGAUUACAGGCACGUGCCACCAUGCCCAGCUAAUUUUUUGUAUUUUUAGUAGAGACGGGGUUUCACCAUGUUGACCAGGAUGGUCUCAAUCUGUUGACCUCGUGAUCCACCCACCUCAGCCUCCCAAAGUGCUGGGAUUACAGGCGUGAGCCACCGCGCCCGGCCACCCAGCUAAUUUUUAAAAAAAUUUGUAGAGACAAACCCUCACUAUGUUGUACAGGCUGGUCUUUAACUCAUGGGCUCAAGUGAUCCCCUGCCUCAGCCUCCCAAAAUGCUGUGAUUACGGACAUGAGCCAUCGCACCCAGCCUGGAGUGACUUUGUAAAGGCACAGGUGGCAUUCCACUCAGAGGCAACACAAAGAAUUGUAUGUUAUCAUUCUGGAUUUGUUAUACACAUUAAAUCAGAGGCCUUGUGAUUCUGUCAUAGUUUUUUUUCUGUUGCUAUAACAGAAAACCACAGACUAGGUAGUUUAAAAAGAAAAGAACAUGAUUUCUUAUAGUCUAGAGGCCAGGAGGUCAAAAGAAUAUGGUGCUGCCAUCUGGUGAGGGCCUUCUUGUUGUGUCAUAACAUGACGGAGAGCAUCUCAUGAUGAGAGGGCAAGAGCAUGUGUGUCAACUCAGGUCUCUCUACCUCUUCUUUCAAAGCUACCAGUCCCAUUAUGGGGGCCCCAUCCUGAUAACUUUAUCUAAUUCUAAUUACCUCCCAAAAGCCUCAGCUCCAGAUGUCAUCAACAUAUGGAAUAUAGAAAUUAAGUUUUUAAUACAUGAAAUUUGGAGGACACGUUCAAACCACAGCAGGUCCUAACAAGAAAAAUACUUGGGUCCACUAGCCAAAGAGUAGAGGUAGGAAUUGCCCUACUUUUCUUUACUACCAAUUACCCAGUAGAAGACUUUGUGCUUCCCAUACUCACAAAUGUGGGAUCCGUAGGGCUGGAGGUCCUAGUCCCCAAGAGGUCCUAGUCCCCAAAGGGAGGACAGCAGGGGUCCCAUUGAACUACAAGCUAUGGCUGCUGUUGGGCAUUUUGGACUCCUUAUGUCCAGAGACCAGAAGGCAAAAAGAGGAGUCACCAUCAUGGAGUAAUUGACCUUGAUCAGUAAGAGGAAGUAGUGCUGCUUUUUACAGAGCCCAUGUAAUCCCACUUGAGCAUCUCCUGAUACUUCCUUGCUCCAUGUAGCUGAAUGAACACAUGUAGCAAAUCUGGCCUGAGAAGAGUAUGGUUACUAGAAGCCCAGACCACCACAUAAACCACCAAGAUCUGCUAAGGUGAUAAUGGAUGGUGAGGGGCACUUGGAGUAGAUGGUGGAGGAGAGAGAGGAUCAGUAUCAACUGUGGCCCCCAGACAGGUUGCUGUAGUUUAUCACAUUAAUCUUCCUCUUCAAGUUUUCCUUUAGCAAGAAAGGCCCAUGGGAACCGUAGAAAAGUUUCUUCCCAAACCUGUUUGAAAAAGAUCUGUUUUCUCAAAGAGUGGGCUGUGGUGCUUCUGAAAGUGGGCCUCUCAGAUUUCCUGCUAUGGGAGAAUAGUUAAUUGAUGACCCCUACCGCUGACCUUCUGGAUUAACCAAUGUGUUUGCUGCUGAGGCCAUGCUUCUUAGGAACUAUUCUUAGCCAGUGACUAAGCAUGGUGGGGCACUAAUACAGGCUCAUUGGGACUUCUCUAAUGAGUCACUUUGGUUCAAAGCUCAGAGGGAAGUUUAGAGAAACAGCAAAUUUAAUGCAAGGAAAAUAAAGGAAAGGAAAUAAAGAUAAUAUCAGAAAUCCAUGAAACAGAAUGCAGGUAUCCAAGAGAGAAAAUCAAUGAAGCCAAAACUUAACAAUUUUCUAAAAGAGUAAUAAAAGUACAUCGACUCCUAGCAAGGUUAAUAAAGAAGCACAAAGUCUUCUACUGGGUAACACAUUACCAAUAUCAGCAAUUAAAGGGGACAUCACUAUAGGUCCUAUAGAUAUUAACAAAUACAGGAGGAUAUUAUAAACAAUCUUAUACCAUUAGAGUUGACAAUUAAGAAGAAAUGGAAAAUUUUAGUGAAAAACAAAACCUACCAAGUCCAAAACCAGAAUAAAUAAAUUUUAUAUUUUAGAAGGAUUGAAUUCAUAAUUCAAACCUUUCUACAAAAAAAACUCCAGAUGGCUUCACUAGGGAAUUCUUUCCAAGAUAUAUACUGCUUUUAGAAAGGCAUAAAAGACAUAUUCAUACUUUCUAAUGCUUGUAUAUUACAUACUCUAUUUGUGGCUUAACUUCCCCCUGCUUCCAUGCAUCAUUCAUUGAGCACCUACUGUGUUUCAGGGCAUGAUGGUAAGUGUUACAAAUGCAAAGAUGAUAAAGGAUUUUCUGAUUGGAAGAGGGACUUUUAGGUUGAUGGAAGAAGUAGAUAUAAUAAUGUAAAUGCAGCAAAAUAUGUGCUAAUGAUGAUAUGUAUAAAGUGCUGUGAGAGAUGGUGCUGAAUCCAGGGAAGGGAAGGCUUUCCAGGCAUGAGGGGUGAAACAAUAUUGCAUGUGGUAUGGGCAUAAAAAUGACUAGAAAAUAAACAACAUUCCUUCUCAGUCUUCCUUAUUGAAUCUUCUCCUGAUACUUCCUUAAUUUUUUUUUGAGUCUUCAAGUCCUGUCCUUGGUUUCUGUUUUGACUUUUCCCAAGCAGUUUUCUCUAUUCUCACAUUUGCCCCUUUCAUAUACAAGUUAAUCAUUCCAAAAUCUAUGUCUCCAGCCUCCACCUCUCUAUUGAGCUCCAGGGCCACAUAUCCAAAUAUCUGAACUCACCUACUCAAGAAUUUUGCCCUCACACUAUGCCAUCUCCUGCAUCACCAACUUCCCUCCCUUGAAAAAUCCUUCCCUUGAUUGCAUGUGUCUCUCCAGCUACUACAUCAUUUCUCUGCUCCUCUUUGUGUAGUGAAACUUCUCACAUUCUUUGUUAAAAGUGAGGAUUUUAUUCCUAUUACUUUUCUGAGACUGUGCUUAUCAAGGUCACCAAUAAUCUUCAUGUUGCCUAAUUCAGUUCUUAACCUACUUGACUAAAUGGCAGCAUUUGACCAGUUGAUCAUUUUCUCUUUCUUGAAGGACUGUCUUUACCUGGCUUCCACCCUAUACCGAUUUUCUUCUCACCUCAGUGGCCACUCCUCAAUCUCUUCAUUGGGUCCUCUUUCUUUUCUCAACCUUUAAUUAUAACUGAUUCUAGUGUUUCAUCCCCAGACUUCUACCAAAUUUUUUCUUUUACUCAUUUCUUAGAAAAUCUUAACUAAGUCUUUCAUUUUAAAUAUCAUCUAUAUGUUAGUGAUUACAAAAAAUGUAUAUCUCCAACCUCUCCCCUGAACUUCAGACUCAUAUCUUCACUGGCUAUUCCACUUGGAUGUCUAAUAGUAUUCCACACUAAAUGUGUCCAAACCAAGCCUUUGAUUCCUUGCUGCCCAAACCUUCAGUCUUCGCCAUACCAGUAAAUAGUUCAACCAUCCACCCUGUUGCUCAGGCCAGAAAUGUUGGGAUCAUCAUUGACUCCUCUCUGUUUCUAAUACCUUCGUUUGAUCCACUAGCACAUCCAUCAUCCUGCCUUCAAAAUAUAUUCCAAAUCUGACUGACCAGUUCUUACCACCUUGAUCACUACUACUCUCACCCAAACCACCAUCAUCUCUCACCUAGAUUCCUUCCUCCUAACUGUCUAUCCUACUUCCACUCUUCCCAACUAUAUUCUGAAUGAUUCUUUUACAGUGUAAGUUAGGAUAUGCCACUCGUCUGUUCAGAACUCUCCAGUGAUUCAUGUCACAUUUAAAAUACAAUCUAAAAUUCUUUCCACAAUCCGUGAGGCCUUCAUGAUCUGGCCUCUUGCUACAUUCUGACCUUAUGUACUUCCUUUCUCCCCUGCCUUUUUUUGUAUGUCAGCCAUACUGGCUUCAUUGAUGUUUCUCAAACAUAUGCCAAGCACAUUGCUGCCUCUGGAUCUUUAUACUUGUUUACUUUAAAAAUACUGGUUCCACAGAUACUCUUAUGGCCCAGUUCCUCACAUCAUUCAGGUCUCUGUUCAAAUGUUACCUCCUCAGGGGGACCACCCUAUCUAAAAUAAUUCUUUGAUUUGCUGUGCUUUUACUCUUUUUUCCCCUAGCUUAUAACUCUACAGGAGUUAUUUCAGGUAUGCAUCUGUUUAUUGAAUAUUAUCUACCUCCCAUAUUAGAAUGUAAGUUCCAUAAAGGCAAGGAAUUUAUCCAUUUUGUUCAGUCACCCAGUCCUGUCUAUCCUGCUUCUUUAAAAUAUCUUCAAGGUGGGUAUGGUAUUAUCCCAACAUUUUGGGAGGCUGAGGUGGAGGAUCACUUGAGCCCAGGAGUUUGGGAACAGCCUGGGCACAUAGUGAGACCCUGUCUCUACAAAAAAGUGAAAUUUAAAAAAAAUCUUCAAUUCAUCUUCUUUCCAUUCCUACUACCUCUGCCUUAAUUCAGUUGCCACCACCACUUGCUUGCACUGUUAUCAAAUUCUUCUACUUGACUUUGCACCUUUGCUUUCUUCUAUCCAGGCCAUUCUCCCACACUCCUACAAAUUUGAUAGCACUGUAGUUGAUAUCUGUUCAUGCCUCUCCCCUACAUAAAACCCUUUGUAGGGGAUACCCUCUUUGAAUAUUAAAGUCAGUCCUUUAACACAGCAUCCAAGGCAUUUCUAGCCACUAAUUCUGCCACCUUCUAGCCUUUUCUCUCUAGCAGUCCAAAAUGCUUAUACCUCAUGUGUUUCUUGCCUCUGUCCUUGGAACAUGCUGGUUCUUUUGUACUUAAAUGCCCUUUCCUGACUCUCACAAAGAUAAAUAUACCUCCUUUGACCAUCCUUCUAUUGCAUUUAUUAUAUGGUGCUUGAUUUAAAAAAAAAAUACUUACAUGAAUGUCCCAUAUUACACUGUGAGCUUCUUAAAGGGAGAGGAUUGUGUCUUAUUUAGGGCACAGCUCCUGUCACACAGUCAGGGACAGAUGGAGAUGGAAGUAAGGCACAGGAAGUGUUCAAAGUAGAAGGAACUGUAUGUAUCAACACUCUGAAGCAUGAAGGAACUUGCUUCAUCUUUAGGAAAGAGAGGAGGCGAGUGUGACUAGAGACCAGUGAAUGAGGGGCAGAAUAACAGGAGAGCAAACUAGAAAGACUGUGGGAAUUAGAUCAUUGCAAGGCCUUAUUAGCCAUGCUAAGGAUCUUGAACAUUAUCCCAAGAGAAAUGGGAAGCCUUUGAAAGGUUUUAAGUAGAAUGGCAAAAUAAGAUUUGCAUUAAAAAGUCAUGAUGGCUGCUCUGUAAAGAAUGGAUUGCAAGGAUACAAGAAUGAAUUCAGAGACUAGAGAGACAUUGUUGCAGUAGUCCAGGCAAAAGGUGAUGGCGAGUUGAACUAGAGGUAGCAGUGGGGAUGCUGAGAAGUAAAUAGAUUCAAAAUAUAUCUUGGAGGUAGACUGAGUAGGGCUUAAUAACAAAGUGAGGGGUGAAGGAGAUAGAUUUGCACAACUGAAAGGCUGGUGGAAUCCUUUACUGAAAUGCAGAUAUGUCAGAGUAAGGGUCAAAAGAGCAACAGUUAAGUUUUGAGAGGUUAAGUUUGCAAUGUCUGAGUGUGAGACAUGUAGAGGAAUAACACAGUUGAGUAUACGAGUGUAGAUUUCAGAAGAGAGGUCUGGACUGGAAAAAUAAUUGGGAGCCAUGAGCAUACAGGUUUAAUGUAAAGCCUUAAGAGUCAAUGCCAGAACCUAGAGAGAGACUGUAGCAUGAAAAGAAAAGAGGGCAUGGCUUAUGUGGAACUGAAUAUAAAUUCACUGGAUUAGAGGUAAUGAGAACAUGAAACUGAGAGGCCACAGGGACCUUGAAGUUGCCAAGGAAAAUGGUAGAAGUUGAGGGUGAGUAAGGCUGUGAGCAAGGUACUUGCAGGUCUUCAGAAAAUGAGGGAAAAUGACCAACAGUUUGGAAGAUAAUUGCAUUGGGAGGGGAGAAAAGAUGAAUAGAUAGAUGACACGAACCUCAAAAAAAAAAAAAAAAAAGAAAGAUUUUCCAAGAGGUAGAAGGAGCAAUGGGGAAAGACAACCUAAAUUUCCCCCUUAAAUAUAUUUUCUGUUUCAGAUAACAAGUAUCUUCAAGAGUAUCUUUGGAUGUUGCAGGUUAAAUAGAUUGAAAUAAAUUUUAUCUCUGCUGUUCCAGACCAAGCCAGUCCCUGGGUCUUAAUCAAGGCAGGAAAUCUGGUAGAGUGAUGCCAAAACAGCAGGAACCUGGCUCAGAAAAGAGUGAGAAAUAACAAGCUAUACCGAGUUCAAGUGAGAGGUAGUGAGGGAUUGAACCAAUGCAGGAGCAGAGGAGAUAAACAGGGAGAUCUUGAGGAAAUACCUCUGACAUAUCUGGAGAUUGAGUUCAAUUACAUGGCUGCUGAUUCAAUCGUUCAUUCCUACAUAAGGAAAUCCCUGUAAAAACUCUGAACACCAAAGCUGAAAGGAGCUUCCUGGUUGGUGAACACAUCAGGGUCUUGGGAGAGUGAUGCAUCCUGUCACCAUGGGGAGAGGGGGAAGGACCAUCUGAACUCAGGAACUUCCCAGAUUUUGCUUUAUGUGUCUCUUCAUUUGACUGGCUCUCUUUUGUAUACUUCAUAAUAAAACUAUAAUCACAACUAUA
Molecule: non-coding RNA, 14262 nt
Organism: Callithrix jacchus (white-tufted-ear marmoset)
Lineage: Eukaryota; Metazoa; Chordata; Mammalia; Primates; Cebidae
Source: RefSeq, a predicted model, not a curated record